Molecule: ribosomal RNA, 253 nt
Filed under: uncultured bacterium
Lineage: Bacteria
Description: partial 16S ribosomal RNA
Rfam family: Bacterial small subunit ribosomal RNA
Source: RNAcentral
UACGUAGGGGGCUAGCGUUGUUCGGAUAUACUGGGCGUAAAGCGCACGUAGGCGGCGUCGUAAGUCAGGGGUGAAAUCCCGGAGCUCAACUCCGGAACUGCCUUUGAAACUGCAAUGCUAGAAUCUUGGAGAGGCGAGUGGAAUUCCGAGUGUAGAGGUGAAAUUCGUAGAUAUUCGGAAGAACACCAGUGGCGAAGGCGACUCGCUGGACAAGUAUUGACGCUGAGGUGCGAAAGCGUGGGGAGCAAACAGG